AGUUUAUCUGGACGUUGUGCCCGAUUAUGAGCUCAACUCUGAAGCAGAUGUAGCAACAAUUUUCUUGGCCAUUGACAGCUUCUGCUUUUCUUUAAAUGCCUUGAGGAGAAACAACCUGUUUCAGACACACAAAGAGAAGCCAGAAAAGACAGAUCUUCAGUCACCACCAACCUGAAGCGGUUCCCUGUGAAAAGCUCUACUACACAUUGCCAAUUAUAUUUUCAGCCUCCCAAGUGAGAAAUCCUUCUCCUGUCCUGCUAGAGGACAGCUUCCCAAUUUAAUAAACACACUGUCAGGAAAACUUCUCCAGAGAAUUCAUCAGAAAUACAUGCAACAGAAUGAGACAGAAUUUUAUUUGUUAAGCUUCAAAGGCAUUAUGGUGCUUAGGAUGCUAAGAACUGAAUAGAGCAUUAAACUUGUAUCUCACAUUCCAGCAGAGUACUCUAACCUCUAAUCUGUAAUAAAAAUGAGAAGGAAUAUCCUCCUCUAUGUCCAUGUCCUUUUUCACUCCCAGGUGGCAUAUAAAAAUAAAACUGACAAAACAAACAAUAAAAAGACUUAUCCACACUGUUUUGGUUUUCUGUCAUUGAUGGUCAAGCUGGUUCCCACUGAAGACCGUAUGGCCAGUCAAG
This is a long non-coding RNA of Neopsephotus bourkii (Bourke's parrot), 632 nucleotides long. RefSeq lists it as uncharacterized. Lineage: Eukaryota; Metazoa; Chordata; Aves; Psittaciformes; Psittacidae. The record is from RefSeq and is a predicted model, not a curated record. The transcript has 4 exons.